Molecule: ribosomal RNA, 490 nt
Filed under: uncultured bacterium
Lineage: Bacteria
Description: partial 16S ribosomal RNA
Rfam family: Bacterial small subunit ribosomal RNA
Source: RNAcentral
AUUGAACGCUGGCGGCAGGCCUAACACAUGCAAGUCGAACGGUAACAGGAAGAAGCUUGCUUCUUUGCUGACGAGUGGCGGACGGGUGAGUAAUGUCUGGGAAACUGCCUGAUGGAGGGGGAUAACUACUGGAAACGGUAGCUAAUACCGCAUAACGUCGCAAGACCAAAGAGGGGGACCUUCGGGCCUCUUGCCAUCGGAUGUGCCCAGAUGGGAUUAGCUAGUAGGUGGGGUAACGGCUCACCUAGGCGACGAUCCCUAGCUGGUCUGAGAGGAUGACAAGCCACACUGGAACUGAGACACGGUCCAGACUCCUACGGGAGGCAGCAGUGGGGAAUAUUGCACAAUGGGCGCAAGCCUGAUGCAGCCAUGCCGCGUGUAUGAAGAAGGCCUUCGGGUUGUAAAGUACUUUCAGCGGGGAGGAAGGGAGUAAAGUUAAUACCUUUACUCAUUGACGUUACCCGCAGAAGAAGCACCGGCUAACUCCGUG